RNAcentral lists this ribosomal RNA (497 nucleotides) under uncultured bacterium. RNAcentral describes it as "partial 16S ribosomal RNA". It matches the Rfam family "Bacterial small subunit ribosomal RNA", at positions 28 to 507 of the family's 1533-position model. The record is from RNAcentral.
GAUGAACGCUGGCGGCGUGCCUAAUACAUGCAAGUCGAGCGAACAGAUGAGGAGCUUGCUCCUCUGACGUUAGCGGCGGACGGGUGAGUAACACGUGGAUAACCUACCUAUAAGACUGGGAUAACUUCGGGAAACCGGAGCUAAUACCGGAUAAUAUAUUGAACCGCAUGGUUCAAUAGUGAAAGACGGUUUUGCUGUCACUUAUAGAUGGAUCCGCGCCGCAUUAGCUAGUUGGUAAGGUAACGGCUUACCAAGGCAACGAUGCGUAGCCGACCUGAGAGGGUGAUCGGCCACACUGGAACUGAGACACGGUCCAGACUCCUACGGGAGGCAGCGGUAGGGAAUCUUCCGCAAUGGGCGAAAGCUUGACGGAGCAACGCCGCGUGAGUGAUGAAGGUCUUCGGAUCGUAAAACUCUGUUAUUAGGGAAGAACAAAUGUGUAAGUAACUAUGCACGUCUUGACGGUACCUAAUCAGAAAGCCACGGCUAACUACGUG